AUUGAACGCUGGCGGCAUGCUUUACACAUGCAAGUCGAACGGCAGCGCGGGCUUCGGCCUGGCGGCGAGUGGCGAACGGGUGAGUAAUGCAUCGGAACGUGCCCAGUAGUGGGGGAUAGCCCGGCGAAAGCCGGAUUAAUACCGCAUACGACCUGAGGGUGAAAGCGGGGGACCGAAAGGCCUCGCGCUAUUGGAGCGGCCGAUGCCGGAUUGGCCAGUUGGUGGGGUAAAGGCUUACCAAGGCGAGGAUCCGUAGCUGGUCUGAGAGGACGACCAGCCACACUGGGACGGGGACAGGGACCAGACGACUGCGGGAGGCAGCAGUGGGGAAUGUUGGGCAGUGGGGGGGAACCUGAUCCAGCGGUGCCGCGUGCGGGAAGAAGGCCUUCGGGUUGGAAACCGCGUUUGUUCGGGAAGAAAUCCUCUGGGCUAAUACCCCGGGGGGAUGACGGUACCGGAAGAAUAAGCACCGGCUAACUACGUG
This 484-nucleotide ribosomal RNA is filed under the name uncultured bacterium. RNAcentral's name for it is "partial 16S ribosomal RNA". It matches the Rfam family "Bacterial small subunit ribosomal RNA", at positions 28 to 507 of the family's 1533-position model. The record is from RNAcentral.